RNAcentral lists this ribosomal RNA (515 nucleotides) under uncultured bacterium. RNAcentral's name for it is "partial 16S ribosomal RNA". It matches the Rfam family "Bacterial small subunit ribosomal RNA", at positions 28 to 523 of the family's 1533-position model. The record is from RNAcentral.
GAUGAACGCUGGCGGCGUGCCUAAUACAUGCAAGUCGAGCGAAUGGAUUAAGAGCUUGCUCUUAUGAAGUUAGCGGCGGACGGGUGAGUAACACGUGGGUAACCUGCCCAUAAGACUGGGAUAACUCCGGGAAACCGGGGCUAAUACCGGAUAACAUUUUGAACCGCAUGGUUCGAAAUUGAAAGGCGGCUUCGGCUGUCACUUAUGGAUGGACCCGCGUCGCAUUAGCUAGUUGGUGAGGUAACGGCGCACCAAGGCAACGAUGCGAGGCCGACCUGAGAUGGUGGUCGGCCACACGGGGACUGAGAAACGGCCCAGACUCCUACGGGAGGCAGCAGUAGGGAAUCUUCCUCAAUGGACGAAAGUCUGACGGAGCAACGCCGCGUGAGUGAUGAAGGCUUUCGGGUCGUAAAACUCUGUUGUUAGGGAAGAACAAGUGCUAGUUGAAUAAGCUGGCACCUUGACGGUACCUAACCAGAAAGCCACGGCUAACUACGUGCCAGCCGCCGCCGUAA